GUGAAUCAUCAAAUUUUUGAACGCAAAUUGCACUCUCUGGUAUUCCGGAGAGUAUGCCUGUUUGAGUAUCAGUUUAAAUAAAAAUCGGUUUGUUUGCUUCCUUUCGUGGUUACGCACCGUAGUUGAGUCGUCUUGCCUUCGGUUAAGUGACCGAAAAUGGUGCAUGAUGUUUUCGAACGUAUUUAACUGAUUUACGUACGUUUGCGAUAUCUAAUACUUGGUGUGAUCAUCCUCAUGAUUCUCGCCGAUACUUUUUCAU
Molecule: unclassified non-coding RNA, 259 nt
Filed under: Glomus sp.
Lineage: Eukaryota; Fungi; Glomeromycota; Glomeromycetes; Glomerales; Glomeraceae
Description: partial contains 5.8S ribosomal RNA and internal transcribed spacer 2
Rfam family: 5.8S ribosomal RNA (bases 1-71)
Source: RNAcentral